UAACGAAUCUUCCGCAAUGGGCGAAAGCCUGACGGAGCAAUGCCGCGUGUGGGAUGAAGCGUCUCUGACGUGUAAACCACUGUCAGGGGGCAGGAACAAUGACCGCCCCCAAAGGAAGUGGCGACUAACUCUGUGCCAGCAGUCGCGGUAAUACAGAGGCCACAAGCGUUAGUCGGAAUCACUGGGCUUAAAGGGUGCGUAGGCGGCUCGAAAAGUGCUUUGUGAAAUCCCGGGGCUCAACCCCGGAACAGCAGGGCAUACUGUCGAGCUUGAGGCAGGUAGGGGUCGCGAGAACAGUAGGUGGAGCGGUGAAAUGCGUAGAUAUCUACUGGAAUGCCGAUGGUGAAGACGCGCGACUGGGCCUGUCCUGACGCUGAGGCACGAAAGCGUGGGGAGCAAACA
Molecule: ribosomal RNA, 402 nt
Filed under: uncultured bacterium
Lineage: Bacteria
Description: bacterial SSU rRNA
Rfam family: Bacterial small subunit ribosomal RNA
Source: RNAcentral